This 497-nucleotide ribosomal RNA is filed under the name uncultured bacterium. RNAcentral's name for it is "partial 16S ribosomal RNA". It matches the Rfam family "Bacterial small subunit ribosomal RNA", at positions 28 to 507 of the family's 1533-position model. The record is from RNAcentral.
GAUGAACGCUGGCGGCGUGCUUAACACAUGCAAGUCGAGCGAACAGACGAGGAGCUUGCUCCUCUGACGUUAGCGGCGGACGGGUGAGUAACACGUGGAUAACCUACCUAUAAGACUGGGAUAACUUCGGGAAACCGGAGUUAAUACCGGAUAAUAUAUUGAACCGCAUGGUUCAAUAGUGUAUGACGGUUUUGCUGUCAAUUAUAGAUGGAUCCGCGCCGCAUUAGCUAGUUGGUAAGGUAACGGCUUACCAAGGCAACGAUGCGUAGCCGACCUGAGAGGGUGAGCGGCCACACUGGAACUGAGACACGGGCCAGACUCCUACGGGAGGCAGCAGUAGGGAAUCUUCCGCAAAGGGCGAAAGCCUGACGGAGCAACGCCGCGUGAGUGAUGGAGGUCUUCGGGUCGUAAAACUCUGUUAUUAGGGAAGAACAAAUGUGUAAGUAACUAUGCACGUCUUGACGGUACCUAGUCAAAAAGCCACGGCUAACUACGUG